GAGAAUGUGGGCUGACCAGAAAAUCCAGAGAAGAGCCCUGGUGUAAAGAUGAAACCUAUUAAGAGAGACUGAAUUCUGAAUCCUUAGGCUAAGGAGGAACAGGAUAACAGCCUUCAGGUUGGAAACUUGGCCCAAAGCUGAGGCUCUUUGAAGCUAUGGUAUUGCAAUCAAAUUCUUGAUGUAAUGAAGCAACGCCCGUGUGUGUAGGUCCAUGCACACAUAUGUCUGCUGGGCUCCAGUCAAGUACAUUGUCCCUCCUGAUCACGACUGCUCUGAAGGCAGGGUAGCUGUCUGA
This 295-nucleotide long non-coding RNA is filed under the name Anas platyrhynchos platyrhynchos (common mallard). RNAcentral describes it as "lncRNA (ENSAPLG00000022712.1)". Lineage: Eukaryota; Metazoa; Chordata; Aves; Anseriformes; Anatidae. The record is from RNAcentral.